CAGGAAAUAUUUCUGUGUCCCUCCCUCUCAUAGCUUCUCUUUCAUAGUAGUUUACACUUGGCACGCGCACAGAAAGCUGGCUGUCAGACGGCGCAUCCUGUUACCAUGUUCAGCUGGAUCCGGUCCAUAUCCAGAUCAGAUGGUGGACCCUGCACCUAGGCACUACCACAAUGCAGCCCUGAAUGUCAGCAGAGACCGUGUCUACUAGACAACCUCCUGUGAAGGCCUCUUCAACAUGACAGCCAUCGGCACAGAUCCUCAGCAAAGACCACAAGAACCACAGAGGACCCAUUGCCGGCUUCGGCUGCAUAACGGCAUGAUGAAUCCAAUCUUCAAUCAAAAGGAACUGGAUGAAUAUUUGAUGACUUGUGAUGCAGCCUGAAUCAUAAUCACACCAUGUUCGCUCAUUGGCCAAAGGAGAACUGCCCCCCCCCACCCCCCACCCCCCCACACACAACUGCUUAUAGAUUAAAUUAACUAAUUUAAUAAAUGAUGAUCUUUACAACAGAAUUCAAUCAACACUGAACUGACUUGCUGAAAUGCAUAAUGUUCCUGUUAUCACUGUAAAACUGCUUUGAAACAAUGUCUAUUGUAUAAGGCGUUAUAUACAUAAAGGUGACUAAACUAGUAUAUGCAUGUAAAAGAUGAUUGAAACUAGUAUGCAUAUGAUUGCAAAGAAAAGAUGAAUGAAAAUCGUUUAAACUAGUAAUAAAGUGUAAAUUAAUAAUGUGGCUGGAGCAGCUAUGAUGCACAUCAAAAAUAAAAACAAAACAGACGAAACAGAACAAAUGAAGGUUAUCCUCUCAUAUAAUUUAACUCCAUUCAUUCAAAAACUUUCAUUGUUUCUGUGCCAGAAAAACAUGCAUAGCUAUCAUUGCAAUCAUAGUAGCUUCAGGGUGGAUAGAUACUGUUUGUUAGUAGUUUGAAGAGUAUGUAACUCCUUUUUUUUCUCUUUUUUUUUUUUUAAACAACAAGGGUAGCUUGACUACUUUAAGCUACGAGUAAUUUAAGCAAAUUACACUUUCAAACUAGCUUCCCCAACCCUGCUGUGAAAUGUGUUCCAGAACAGCACUCUAGUCUAAACUACAGACUGCCGAGUAUGACAAAUCAUGACAGCUCUUAAACUAAAGAGCGAAAAACGAAGAAAUCCACAUCGGCUCAAUUUCUAUGACCAUAUUUGGUCCCUGUUUCUGUUUGUCGGAGCCUGGAAUAUUUACCCUCGCUCUACACAAUACAAACGUUUGCUAGGCUGUGUAGAAUGUUGUUUAUCUGUUUUCUGACACAACUCUGUAGUGCAUUUCCUGCGACUCUGAGUCCAGCAAACUUGAGUUUCGAUGCGUAAUAACAGUAGACAGUCCAUGUGGAGACGCACUGGAAACCUGUAAGGCUGCAGGCCAACAAUCUAUUCAUUAUUCACUUGAUUGUUUUUUUAUAUUGUGCAAGGAUUACAUGGCUCAUCCACACAUUAAAAAGUUUCAUUUCAAGCCACACAUGUUCUCUGGUGUUACCGCAUAAAACACUGUUUAAUUGUGCAUGUGUUUGUGUAUGAGUGCAAUAUAAAAUGCCACAACAAACAGCCAUGCCAUUCAUCUGAAUAACUCCACUUCCUAAUUGUUACUUUUGCUUUUAGUCACAUUCUCAGAACAACCUUUCAAAAUGAGUCACAUAAUGAAAUUAGCAAUAACAAUCGCAAAGGAAUCGAGAAACAACAUGACGUUAACAACACAAAACAAUGACACUAGGAAGAGAUGUCUCAGUGAUGUUCUGCUGUGAUUCAGAGGUGGCCUUUGCAAUUCAGAGGCCCGUUUCAAAGAAACAGUUAAAGGCCCCCGCCACCCAAUGAGAAAAAUGUCAGACAAAAACAUUGUAUGCAAUGCAACUGCAAUUACUUUAUUAUCUCUGUUAUAUUUAAAGGGGUCCUUGAUUAUGAUUUCACUUUAACUUUAGUUAGUGUGUAGUGUUGCUGUUUGAGCAUAAAUAACAUCUGCAAAGUUACAAUGCUCAAAGUUCAUUGG
This is a long non-coding RNA of Megalobrama amblycephala (Wuchang bream), 2015 nucleotides long. RefSeq lists it as uncharacterized. NCBI's taxonomy places the organism in Eukaryota, Metazoa, Chordata, Actinopteri, Cypriniformes, Xenocyprididae. The transcript is spliced from 3 exons. The record is from RefSeq and is a predicted model, not a curated record.